This 450-nucleotide ribosomal RNA is filed under the name uncultured bacterium. RNAcentral describes it as "bacterial SSU rRNA". It matches the Rfam family "Bacterial small subunit ribosomal RNA", at positions 29 to 524 of the family's 1533-position model. The record is from RNAcentral.
AACGAACGCUGGCGGCAGGCCUAACACAUGCAAGUCGAACGCACCGCAAGGUGAGUGGCGCACGGGUGAGUAACACGUGGGAAUGUACCCUUUGGUUCGGAAUAACGUUUGGAAACGAACGCUAAUACCGGAUGAGCCCUGUGGGGGAAAGAUUUAUCGCCAAAGGAGCAGCCCGCGUCUGAUUAGCUAGUUGGUGGGGUAAAGGCCUACCAAGGCGACGAUCGAGUAGCUGGUCUGAGAGGAUGAUCAGCCACACUGGGACUGAGACACGGCCCAGACUCCUACGGGAGGCAGCAGUGGGGAAUAUUGGACAAUGGGCGGAAGCCUGAUCCAGCCAUGCCGCGUGAGUGAUGAAGGCCCUUGGGUUGUAAAGACUCUUUCGCACGCGACGAUGAUGACGGUAGCGUGAGAAGAAGCCCCGGCUAACUUCGUGCCAGCAGCCGCGGUAAU